Molecule: ribosomal RNA, 253 nt
Filed under: uncultured bacterium
Lineage: Bacteria
Description: partial 16S ribosomal RNA
Rfam family: Bacterial small subunit ribosomal RNA
Source: RNAcentral
UACGUAGGGUGCGAGCGUUGUCCGGAUUUACUGGGCGUAAAGAGCGCGCAGGCGGCUGGUCAAGUCCGAUGUGAAAUCUCCCGGCUCAACUGGGAAACUGCAUCGGAAACUGAUCGGCUUGAAGAUGGGAGAGGGUAGUGGAAUUCCCGGUGUAGUGGUGAAAUGCGUAGAUAUCGGGAGGAGCACCAGUGGCGAAGGCGACUACCUGGCCUGUUCUUGACGCUGAGGCGCGAAAGCUAGGGGAGCAAACGGG